This is a long non-coding RNA of Zea mays, 2791 nucleotides long. RefSeq lists it as uncharacterized. The record is from RefSeq and is a predicted model, not a curated record. Lineage: Eukaryota; Viridiplantae; Streptophyta; Magnoliopsida; Poales; Poaceae. The transcript is spliced from 3 exons.
AAUGUGUUCGGGGGUUCUGAAUCGGCCGUACCCCUUUAUAUUUAUAGGGGAGGAGGUAUGGACCUGUUCCUAGGAGAUAGCCAACAACUCCCACGUUAUUAGAUGGAUAACCACGCACGAGAUAAGGAUAAUCACCUGAGUUUAUCUGACCGCGAACCAUUCGGGCCCUAGGGCCGGACCGUCCGCCACUUUUGGUGCUCAACACAUGCCCCCUGCCUUUUGGUGGAGCUUGGCGAACCAAAAGCACUAGUGAAAACUUCAGAAACAAUUGACCUCAUGAGUUAUUUUGUUCCCGAAGUAAGGACUCAGCUCGAUGCAAGUCAUCGGCUCUUGCGAUCAGAUAAUAUAAAUACUUGAUAGAACUUUAUUGCACAGAGACCGUUUCAGAUUGCAUCCUCUUUGGCCAUGUCUGCCUGAUCAACCUAUCAAUAGGCAAAAACCUUCAGAAACUGGGACAUGUGACUUUUUCGGCUCUUGGGGCUUGGGUUGACGGCUAUAUUUAUGCCGGCCUUCCACACUAGGCGGAUCACAGGUGAUUUCUUGUGCUCCGGACGGUCCGACCUGUGCAGUCCGACGGUCCGCAAGUGGAUCGGAUGGUCCGGUACUAUUCCCAGACUGUUCGGUCGUGUCGGGCAACACCUGCGACCCUUGUGGUGGGCUCUGUAUAACUCCGGACGGUUCGGCCUAGGGUGCCGGACGGUCUGACGAAGGGCCAGACUGUUCGAGAUCGUGUGCGGACAGUCCGACCGUGCUCAGAGUUGACACACCAUUUAGCGGAGAUGGCGGUGACGGUCGUCCUGGAUAUGAGUCCAUCGGCAUACCAGAAUAUGGAUGGGGAAACCUAUUUGUUGUCGAUGUGUUUGGCGCAAUUGUUUCGACGCCUAAUUUAUGUGAUAAAGAAUUAGGCAUGUGAGUUUUCCCUAAUGCAUGCCCCAUCCUUUCUAUAUCCUCUAUGAUACUUUUAAUCCGAUUAUCAAAAGAAAUUUUAAUAGAUGGAAUAUCAUCGACUGACCUAGCAUCACCUAUCGUGGGAGCUGUUGUAGCACGACUGAUAUGUACUCGACGUUUAUCUCCCUCUCUUGGACGGUCUUCUGGUGGCAAUAUACCCUGAAGUGCGAGAAGAACCACUUCUCCGCCACCUUGAGCACCUGACCUUGUUGUCGUUGGACCUCUUUGUCUAUUUUCUUCAUGUCAUCUUCUAAUCUUUUAUGCUCCGUGGCCGACAAAUUAGUCAGCCUUGUGUCGCUGUUUGGAGAAGCACUGUUGAGAUCUUUAGAAACGACCAUAUAAACCUGAUUUUGUGGAUCUACAACCUUGUUCCCCAGCGGAGUCGCCAAAAAGUGAGUCGGCGUCGAUCUAGACGCCAAACACUAGAAAGGACCGCCUGGCGGUGCUCUCUGCGGAGGCGUGUACGGUCCGUGGCACAGGAUCGGACGGUCCGCGACCUGGCGCAUGAGUGACUCCUCCUCUGCGUACGUUCGGACGGUCCGCGAUGGUGCAAGGGUCUUCUCGCCUGAGGGGUAAAAUCCUAGGGUUGUCUUGGGGUCGGCAGACCACCCAAGACGGAUCUAGACGACGUAGAGUCGAAUAGGGGUGGAGGUGGAUAUGCGGAAGGCUACAAACUAGAACUACGCUACAUCUACUCCUAGGGCAAUAAAGGUAAAUAACGUAGAUAGAUUCGAUUGGAAUGUGUUUGGGGGUUCUGAAUCGGCCGUACCCCUUUAUAUUUAUAGGGGAGGAGGUCUGGACCUGUUCCUAGGAGAUAGCCAACAACUCCCAUGUGAUUAGAUGGAUAACCACGCACGAGAUAAGGUUAAUCACCUGAGUUGAUCUGAUCGCAGGGCCGCGGACCGUCCAGGCCUUAGGGCCGGACCGUUCGUCACUUUUGGUGCUCAAUAAUGAGAUCAACCUAGGACAUACAGGAGGACUGGUGGACACGUUGGUAUGGGUGCCUAUGCAAAUUAUAAGUGAUCGUGAGAUGGACACACCACAUAUCCUGGAGUCCUGUGUAACUGUUUGAUCUUGGUUGAUAUUGUGAUCCGAGAAUAUUGCCUAGAGUGAGCAUGACAUUUUGUAAUGGGGACGAGGCACACAAAUUUUAUAAACAAUACAUCUAAGAAGUUGGUUUUCUAUCGAAAAUAUACAUGAAGAAGUCAUACUGCAAGUGGUUGAAAUGUUCAAGGGAAGUCAAAUGUGCAACAAGGGCUGAUGAUAACCCAAGGGUCCACAAUAAAACCACAGGACAUACGCAAUGCAAGGCAAGGUUAGGAUGAAGGUGAAAAAGAUUUAUGAUGACAACAAGAAGAAUAACAUAGUUGUUGCUGAUUGAUCUGGUGCACCUAGAACAUAAACACGAGUUCAUUACGCAAGAAACAGAGAAACAACACCUUCAUUGCAACAAGAAUUGUAAUCUAAAGUUCAUGAAGUUUGUGGGUACAAUGCAUGAUAGCAGGGUACCACAACACUGCAUUGUAGACAUGAUUUAAGACAGUCAUAAUGGGCCUAAGAAUGUUCCAGUAAUGGUGCAAGACCCGAAGAACAUGAGGGCAACGAGGCGACGACCGAAGAGAGAAAAAUGCUAAUGAUGUGUCUAAGCUUCUAACAUUUUUUAGAACAUACAAAAAAAUCUAUAAUUCUUUUGUGAUUUCUAGUUGGAUGAGGAGAGGAGAUAUUUAUUUAUUUAGUAUCUUUUGGUUACAUGCUAGUAUGCAAGGGGAGUACAUUGGUUUCAGAGGUGUUGUCACUUUUGAUACAACUCAUAAAACUAAUCUAUAUGAUAAAUCACUUGAUA